CGCGACAACGAUUCGGCUGUGACGCGAGCGCGGCCGCUCCCGAUGCGCUCGUGCCGCCCCCGCCGUGCUCCUCGGUAGCCGUUGCUCGGCCGGUUUUGGUAGGCCCGGGCCGCCGCCAGGCCUCCGCCUGAGCCCGCACCCGCCAUGGACAACUACGCAGAUCUUUCGGAUACCGAGCUGACCACCUUGCUGCGCCGGUACAACAUCCCGCACGGGCCUGUAGUAGGAUCAACUCGUAGGCUUUACGAGAAGAAGAUCUUCGAGUACGAGACCCAGAGGCGGCGGCUCUCGCCCCCCAGCUCGUCCGCCGCUUCCUCUUAUAGCUUCUCUGACUUGAAUUCGACUAGAGGGAAUGCAAAUAUGUAUGAUCUUCCCAAGAAAGAGGACGCUUUACUCUACCAGAGCAAGGGUAAGGCAGGGGUUGGGUGGGCACGCUGGCACCUUCACCCGACUGCGUCAGGGACCCCGCUCACAGGGAGGACCUGAGACCUCAGUCCCAACCACUCCAGCAGCCUUAGGAGGGAGAAACUGUUACAGGUCCCGAAAUAGGAUUCAGAUUAGGGCCAUCGGGCCAGGCGGGGCACACCGAUGCCCCCUCUGCUACCGCUGCCCCCCUUCCCAAGGCUACAAUGACGACUACUAUGAAGAGAGCUACUUCACUACCAGGACUUAUGGGGAGCCCGAGUCUGCAAGCCCGUCCAGGGCCGUCCGCCAGUCAGUGACUUCAUUCCCAGAUGCUGACGCUUUCCACCACCAGGUGCGUGAUGAAGAUCUUUUGUCUUCUUCUGAAGAGGAGUGCAAGGAUAGGUACGUAGUGGGGAAGCCCAGGGACGGGCUGGUUCUGGGCCCAGGCUCCUGGCCCACUUGCUCCCCUCUUUUGCCUCAGGGAACGCCCCAUGUAUGGCCGGGACAGUGCCUACCAGAGCAUCACGCACUACCGCCCUGUUUCAGCCUCCAGGAGCUCCCUGGACCUGUCUUAUUAUCCUACUUCCUCCUCCACCUCUUUUAUGUCCUCCUCAUCAUCGUCUUCAUGGCUCACCCGCCGUGCCAUCCGGCCUGAAAACCAUGCUCCUGGGGCUGGGCUGGGCCAGGAUCGCCAGGUCCCGCUCUGGGGCCAGCUGCUGCUUUUCCUGGUCUUUGUGAUCGUCCUCUUCUUCAUUUACCACUUCAUGCAGGCUGAAGAAGGCAACCCCUUCUAGAGGGAGCCGCAAGGGUCUGGGCUUCAGAGCCAGGUCUUUGGGGAAGUCCUGGCUGACUGCCUUAGCAGUGGGGGUGGGGGUG
Molecule: small RNA, 1281 nt
Filed under: Pongo abelii (Sumatran orangutan)
Lineage: Eukaryota; Metazoa; Chordata; Mammalia; Primates; Hominidae
Description: retained intron
Source: RNAcentral